GAACGCAUCUUGCGCUUUUUGGGACCUUUCUUCCAAGAAGCAUGUCUGUUUGAGUAUCAUAAAAUUCUCAAUUCCUCGAUCUGUGACUCUUUUUUGUUAAAGUGUCUUGGGUUUAGGAUUUGGAUUGUGGGAGACUUUUGCAGGCGGCUUAGUCUGCUCUCCUCAAAUUGAUUAGCGAAAGUCCAAAUUGAUUUUCUUUGGUAUAAUAAUUACUUGUGCCGCUGAAAUCAAAUGUGUACUUUGGGGUUUUAUAAAGGCUUGCCGCUUCUAAAGCAGCUUUUGUUGAAAAAUGAAAGCUUUCGAUGUAUUGAUCUCAAAUCAGAUAAGAUUACCCGCUGAACUUAAG
This 346-nucleotide unclassified non-coding RNA is filed under the name uncultured fungus. RNAcentral's name for it is "sequence contains 5.8S rRNA gene". The record is from RNAcentral. Lineage: Eukaryota; Fungi.